This is a long non-coding RNA of Nerophis ophidion (straightnose pipefish), 611 nucleotides long. RefSeq lists it as uncharacterized. Lineage: Eukaryota; Metazoa; Chordata; Actinopteri; Syngnathiformes; Syngnathidae. The record is from RefSeq and is a predicted model, not a curated record. The transcript is spliced from 3 exons.
AGUCCUUGCAUCUGAUCCGUUGCACCGUCCAGCAUUUCUGUCAUUCGAUGUGCUCUAUCCUCGUGUCAAGCUCCCUUUGUUCUGGUGUGUAGCAAGAACAAAAAUGUUGCAAUUGUCUUCAUCCCAGACAGCCUCCCCCACUUGACUGUUGUUUUUGCCAGGGAGAGAAUAAAAAAGGGCCAAUGACACGCAUUAUUGUGGGUUCCUGGACUUCGUCUUCAUCACUAAAGGAAAAAGCUAAUCCGUGGGAGAGAAUCUCUCUGCCAUUUUCCAGAACUCAAAGCGCUUCGACACUAUUUCCACAUUCACCCACGGCGCUAACCAGGACCCAUCAGGAGCACGGGUGAAGUGUCUUGCUCAAGGAUACCACGGAUGUGACAAGGAUGGUAGAAGGUGGGGAUUGAAACUAACCCUCAGAUUGCUGGCACGGCCACUCUACCGCCUUCGCCACGCCGUCGCCCAAGUCACAAAACAAAGCCUGUAAUUUGAAAUUUUAUUUGUUUGUUUUGUUUACAGGCCUUCAGCUUUAAGCAAAUACAAGCUGUUUUAACUGUUUUUAAUACUGUCAACAUUAUAAGGUUGUGCUUAUAAAAAUUAGCUGUACUGUCGUU